RNAcentral lists this ribosomal RNA (368 nucleotides) under uncultured bacterium. Its description in RNAcentral is "bacterial SSU rRNA". It matches the Rfam family "Bacterial small subunit ribosomal RNA", at positions 527 to 896 of the family's 1533-position model. The record is from RNAcentral.
GAAGGGGGCUAGCGUUGCUCGGAAUCACUGGGCGUAAAGGUGCGUAGGCGGGUCUUUAAGUCAGGGGUGAAAUCCUGGAGCUCAACUCCAGAACUGCCUUUGAUACUGAAGAUCUUGAGUUCGGGAGAGGUGAGUGGAACUGCGAGUGUAGAGGUGAAAUUCGUAGAUAUUCGCAAGAACACCAGUGGCGAAGGCGGCUCACUGGCCCGAUACUGACGCUGAGGCACGAAAGCGUGGGGAGCAAACAGGAUUGGAUACCCUGGUAGUCCACGCCGUAAACGAUGAAUGCCAGCCGUUAGUGGGUUUACUCACUAGUGGCGCAGCUAACGCUUUAAGCAUUCCGCCUGGGGAGUACGGUCGCAAGAUUA